GAAACGACUGCUAAUACCCCAUACUCCUUUUAUCUUAAUGAUAAUUGGGAAACGUCUUUUCGCUAAAGGAUGAGACUAUAUGGUAUCAGGUAGUUGGUGGGGUAAGAGCCUACCAAGCCAAUGACGCCUAGCUGGUCUGAGAGGAUGAUCAGCCACANUGGAACUGAGACACGGUCCAGACUCCUACGGGAGGCAGCAGUGGGGAAUAUUGCACAAUGGAGGAAACUCUGAUGCAGCAACGCCGCGUGGAGGAUGACGCAUUUCGGUGUGUAAACUCCUUUUAUAUGGGAAGAUAAUGACGGUACCAUAUGAAUAAGCACCGGCUAACUCCGUGCCAGCAGCCGCGGUAAUACGGAGGGUGCAAGCGUUACUCGGAAUCACUGGGCGUAAAGCGCGCGCAGGCGGCCUUUUAAGUUGGAUGUGAAAGCCUAUGGCUCAACCAUAGAACUGCAUCCAAAACUAUCAGGCUAGAGUGUGGGGAGAGGAAG
This 488-nucleotide ribosomal RNA is filed under the name uncultured bacterium. Its description in RNAcentral is "bacterial SSU rRNA". It matches the Rfam family "Bacterial small subunit ribosomal RNA", at positions 153 to 661 of the family's 1533-position model. The record is from RNAcentral.